CCUACGGGAGGCAGCAGUGGGGAAUAUUGCACAAUGGGCGAAAGCCUGAUGCAGCAACGCCGCGUGAAGGAAGAAGGGUUUCGGCUCGUUAACUUCUAUCAACAGGGACGAAAGAAAUGACGGUACCUGAAUAAGAAGCCCCGGCUAACUACGUGCCAGCAGCCGCCGUAAUACGUAGGGGGCAAGCGUUAUCCGGAAUUACUGGGUGUAAAGGGUGAGUAGGUGGCAUGGUAAGCCAGAUGUGAAAGCCCUGGGCUUAACCCGAGGAUUGCAUUUGGAACUAGCAAGCUAGAGUACGGGAGAGGAAAGCGGAAUGCCUAGUGUAGCGGUGAAAUGCGUAGAUAUUAGGAAGAACACCGGUUGCGAAGGCGGCCUGCUGGACGAUGACUGACGUUGAGGCUCGAAAGCGUGGGGAGCGAACAGGAUUAGAUACCCGAGUAGUC
This 443-nucleotide ribosomal RNA is filed under the name uncultured bacterium. Its description in RNAcentral is "partial 16S ribosomal RNA". It matches the Rfam family "Bacterial small subunit ribosomal RNA", at positions 338 to 795 of the family's 1533-position model. The record is from RNAcentral.